Camelus ferus (Wild Bactrian camel) is the source of this 73-nucleotide transfer RNA. It matches the Rfam family "tRNA". Rfam says of the family: Transfer RNA (tRNA) molecules are approximately 80 nucleotides in length. The record is from Rfam. Lineage: Eukaryota; Metazoa; Chordata; Mammalia; Artiodactyla; Camelidae.
GGAGGUAUAGCUCAAGUGGUAGAGUGCAUGCUUAGCAUGCACGAGGUCCCGGAUUCAAUCCGCAGUACCUCCU